This 120-nucleotide ribosomal RNA is filed under the name uncultured bacterium. Its description in RNAcentral is "partial 16S ribosomal RNA". It matches the Rfam family "Bacterial small subunit ribosomal RNA", at positions 29 to 147 of the family's 1533-position model. The record is from RNAcentral.
AACGAACGUUGGCGGCGUGGAUGAGGCAUGCAAGUCGAACGUGAAAGCUACUUCGGUAGUGAGUAAAGUGGCGAACGGGUGAGUAACACGUAACCAAGCUACCCUCGAGAUCGGGAUAAC